RNAcentral lists this ribosomal RNA (391 nucleotides) under uncultured bacterium. Its description in RNAcentral is "bacterial SSU rRNA". It matches the Rfam family "Bacterial small subunit ribosomal RNA", at positions 128 to 518 of the family's 1533-position model. The record is from RNAcentral.
UCCCUAUAGUAGAGAAUAGCCCGGCGAAAGUCGGAUUAAUGCUCUAUGUGUUCAUUGAUGGCAUCAGAGAUUGAACAAGAAUUUCGCUAUAGGAUGGGGGAUGCGUCUGAUUAGCUUGUUGGCGGGGUAACGGCCCACCAAGGCAACGAUCAGUAGGGGUUCUGAGAGGAAGGUCCCCCCACAUUGGUACUGAGACACGGACCAAACUCCUACGGGAGGCAGCAGUGAGGAAUAUUGGUCAAUGGGCGCAAGCCUGAACCAGCCAAGUAGCGUGCAGGACGACUGCCCUAUGGGUUGUAAACUGUCUUUUAUAGGGGAAUAAAGUGAGGUAUGUAUACCUUUUGUAUGUACCCUAUGAAUAAGGACCGGCUAAUUCCGUGCCAGCAGCGGC